CGGGACGGGUGAGUAAUGUCUGGGAAACUGCCUGAUGGAGGGGGAUAACUACUGGAAACGGUAGCUAAUACCGCAUAACGUCGCAAGACCAAAGAGGGGGACCUUAGGGCCUCUUGCCAUCGGAUGUGCCCAGAUGGGAUUAGCUAGUAGGUGGGGUAACGGCUUACCUAGGCGACGAUCCCUAGCUGGCCUGAGAGGAUGAUCAGCCACACUGGGACUGAGACACGGUCCAG
Molecule: ribosomal RNA, 233 nt
Filed under: uncultured bacterium
Lineage: Bacteria
Description: partial 16S ribosomal RNA
Rfam family: Bacterial small subunit ribosomal RNA
Source: RNAcentral